GCCACAUGAAGUAUGAAGAGAGAGGACGGGGUCUGGAGGCACAAAGAGAGAACACUCACCAUAGACAGGCAAGAAGGGGAUAGGCUGGGGACCUACAAAGUGAGGAAUGAAUCAGAAACUCAAUCGGAAUUACUAGGAAGUUCUAGCCAAGAGAAGAAAGACACAACCAAGAGGAGGGAAAUUCCCAAAAUGUUCUUGGAACAGAAAUGGGUCCCAGGUCACAUGCUAUAAAUCAGUCAACCUCAGAAGGGAAGACAGACUGCUUCGCAAGUCAGCUGACUACAGCUGGAAAUGGAAAGGUGUGGCUGACAAGAAAAUCCACGAUGGGUGAUUUGGAAAGUGGCCAUCUUUCAUCAAUCUCUCUCCCUUUUGGUAAGAAGUCUGUCCUCCGGCGGGGAAAUUUCUAAAGAUCUUCACUCUCGCAGUGGGAAAGAGCUGUUGGUUUCAGAAAAGCACUGUGGGGAAGGGUACGCGAAGUGAUACUAACACUGGAAGGAAACUACUUUUUGAAAAUAAUAAUUUAAACUACUUUGAAAUAUGUUCCACACAUUUUUUAUUCAUUGUAAAACUUAACCCUUACAACCAUUCCCCAGCUGGGCAUUUCAGAUGUGGACGUUGAGGCUGAGUUAAAUGUCCCGCUCAGGACCACACAGUUGGUAAGCAGCUAUCACAGGGCAAACUAAUGCCUUUCCCACUCCACCACUGUGAUUCUCUGGAAGAGUUUUGUUAUUUUUAAAUUUUGAAAGUGACUAGGUACUUUUUUUCUGCAGUAAUCAUGGAACAUAAUGUUAGAGAUACAGAUAUGGCUUAGUCAUUUACAAAAACAACAGGACGUUUGUACUGAAACCGCGGUGGUAUUUGCUGAAAAAUGCUUAAGAACUGCAACUUUGCAUAUUGCUGUCAUCUGCUUUUUUAAAUUUGGAAAAACAAAAUGAUGGAAUUGUCUCCCCAAGAGCAGCAAAGACCUUUCCUGAAAAGGUUUGGGUUGUUCUUGAACUCCCUGAGAGCAUCAAAUCACCCACAAAUCUUGUUAUAAAUACACAUGCCUGGUGUUUCCAUUUUCUGGGAUAAUAGACCCUUUGACAGGGCCCAGACUCCUGAGAUGAUACUGCUGCUUAGAGCAGGGAAAGUCAAACCUGGAUUAUCACAAUCACUGGGAGAGAAUUUUUAAAAUUCACUUCCCUGGGGCUAACUUAUUAGAAACUCUGGAGUCAGUCUGGAGAACGUCUACAUUUAAAGUUACCCUGGAGCCAGGUGUGGUGGGUGGCACAUACCUGAAAUCCUAGCAGCACAGGGGAAGCUGAGGCAGGAGAAUUUUGAGUUCACCCUGGGCUACAGAGCAAGACCCUGUCUCAAAAACAGAAAUAAAAAAACCAAAAGAAACAAAAACAAAAAAGCUACCCUGGUAAUUUUGGUCAAUGGUUGCUACAGGACCCUGGUCUGAAAUGAACUCUGGGUGAGUUGUAGGCUGCAAAGCCAUCUGCAUCAUUUAGGGAGAUGGCAUUUUUAUGUUUUUGAUUUUGGGGGGGGUUGGUACCAGGGAUCGAACUUGGGAACUUGCGCUUGCAAGGCAGGUGCUGGGACCACUGACCUAAAUCCCCAGCCCCAUAGCUGGCAUUUUUAGAUGGAGCUUUAUUAUAAUCAGAUUCAACUAAGCUCUACUGUGAAGAAUGUGAGCUGUAAGAAGAGUAAGUACAUGUGUGUCCUAUUUAUUUCACUUAAGAGGGCCUUGAUAUGCAUCCAUUUAGCUAUAAAUGACUCUAGUUUCUCAUUCUUUAUGGCUGAGUAGUACUCCAUUUUAUUAAAAAAACCCACAUCUUUAUCCAGUUUCCAGUUGAUGGGCACUUGGGCUGCUUCCAAGCUUUAGCUAUUACAAACUGUGCUGCUAUGAACAUGGGCACACAUAUAUCGCCGUGGUAGGAUUCUUUUAAUUCUUUGGGGAAGAUCCCCAGCAGGGGGAUAGCUGGGUCAAAUGGGACUUCUAGCCCUAGUUCUUUGAGGUAUCUCCAUAUGGAUUUCCACAGUGGUUGCACCAGUCUGCACUCCCACCAACAAUGGAGAAGGGUUCCUUUCUCUCCACACCCCCGCCAGCAUGUUAUUGGUUCUUGAUAGCAGCCAUUCUUUCUGGAGUGAGGUGGAAUCUGUGUUGUUUUCAUCUGCAUCUCUCGAAUGACAAGUGAUGUUGAACAUUUUUUCAUAUAUUUGUUUGCUGCUUUUACUUUGUCUGAGAAAUGUGUUCAUGUGUAAAUACCGAAUAGUUUCUCUAGUGUGAGAAACUGAUAGUGUAAACAAGGGUUAAAAUGAUUAAAAUGAAUAAUUGAUAAUUUGAAAUAGGAAAAAACGUCCAAAGACAAAGGAGUGAAGGGAGGGGAAGGGGAAAGGAAAAGAGGGAAAGGAAAAACUAUGAGAAAAGAAAAAACAAAAUGGAAAUGAAAUCUAUGUAAAUAGGGAAGUGCGGAGGGGGUGAAAGGUGCACAGGUAAUGGGGAAAAAAAUAAGAACCAAG
Molecule: long non-coding RNA, 2505 nt
Filed under: Heterocephalus glaber (naked mole-rat)
Lineage: Eukaryota; Metazoa; Chordata; Mammalia; Rodentia; Bathyergidae
Description: lncRNA (ENSHGLG00100050413.1)
Source: RNAcentral